This 63-nucleotide transfer RNA is filed under the name Paromalus flavicornis. Its description in RNAcentral is "tRNA-Thr". It matches the Rfam family "tRNA". From Rfam's summary of the family: Transfer RNA (tRNA) molecules are approximately 80 nucleotides in length. Lineage: Eukaryota; Metazoa; Arthropoda; Insecta; Coleoptera; Histeridae. The record is from RNAcentral.
GUUUUAAUAAUUUAAAUAAAAUAUUGGUCUUGUAAACCAAAAAUGAGGAAUACUCUUAAUUCA